Molecule: ribosomal RNA, 595 nt
Filed under: uncultured Bacteroidota bacterium
Lineage: Bacteria; Pseudomonadati; Bacteroidota
Description: bacterial SSU rRNA
Rfam family: Bacterial small subunit ribosomal RNA
Source: RNAcentral
CAACCUGCCUGUUACCACGGCACAGCCCGUCGAAAGGCGGAUUAAUGCCGUAUGUGGUCUUGAAAGGGCAUCUGAUCAUGACUAAAGGUUCAGCGGUAACGGAUGGGGAUGCGUCCGAUUAGCUAGACGGCGGGGUAACGGCCCACCGUGGCUACGAUCGGUAGGGGUUCUGAGAGGAAGGUCCCCCACACUGGAACUGAGACACGGUCCAGACUCCUACGGGAGGCAGCAGUGAGGAAUAUUGGUCAAUGGGCGUAAGCCUGAACCAGCCAAGUAGCGUGAGGGAAGACUGCCCUAUGGGUUGUAAACCUCUUUUGUGCGGGGAUAAAGUGAGGGACGUGUCCCUUAUUGCAGGUACCGCACGAAUAAGGACCGGCUAAUUCCGUGCCAGCAGCCGCGGUAAUACGGAAGGUCCGGGCGUUAUCCGGAUUUAUUGGGUUUAAAGGGAGCGCAGGCCGUCCUUUAAGCGUGCUGUGAAAUGCCGCGGCUCAACCGUGGCACUGCAGCGCGAACUGGAGGACUUGAGUACGCACGAGGUAGGCGGAAUUCGUGGUGUAGCGGUGAAAUGCUUAGAUAUCACGAAGAACUCCGAUUG